This 1265-nucleotide ribosomal RNA is filed under the name Nelumbo nucifera (sacred lotus). Its description in RNAcentral is "bacterial SSU rRNA". The stretch from base 296 to 1265 matches the Rfam family "Bacterial small subunit ribosomal RNA", at positions 1 to 1366 of the family's 1533-position model. Lineage: Eukaryota; Viridiplantae; Streptophyta; Magnoliopsida; Proteales; Nelumbonaceae. The record is from RNAcentral.
AAAAAGGAUGAGAUAGCCAAAGUGUUUGUGGAUCAUUUCAAAUUAUUUGUUGGGAAGCUUUUGAAUAAUAGAUUAAAGCUGGAAGGAUUAGAUUAGCUCAGCCUGUCUGAAGAGCAAGCAAGUUGGUUACAGAGAAGCUUUGAAGAAGAGGAAAUUAGGCAUGCGGUGUUUUCAAUGGACAGAUCCAAAGCUCAUGGGCCAGAUGGUUUCACUAUGGCUUUUUAUCAAGAUUGUUGGAAUGUGGUAAAAGAAGACCUUUAUGAUGUGUUUAAGGAAUUUGAGGAUAAUAAUAAAGUAAGCCCUGGAGUUAAUGCUACCUUCAUAGCCCUAAUCCCUAAGAUGAGAUUGGGCGUAAAGCGUUUAUAGGUGGCUUUUCAAGUCCGCUGUCAAAUCCGAGGGCUCAACCCUGGACAGGUAGUGGAAACUACUAAGUUGGAGUAUGGUAGGGGCAAAGGGAAUUUCCAGUGGAGCGGUGAAAUGCGUAGAGAUCAGAAAGAACACCAACGACAAAAGCACUCUGUUGUGCCGACAUUGACACUGAGAGACGAAAGCUAGGGGAGCGAAUGGGAUUAGAUACCCCAGUAGUCCUAGCUGUAAAUGAUGGAUACUAGGCAUUGUGCGUAUCGACCUGUGCAGUGCUGUAGCUAAUGUGUUAAGUAUCCCACCCGGGGAGUACGCUCGCAAGAAUGAAACUCAAAGGAAUUGACGGGGGCCCGCACAAGCGGUGGAGCAUGUGGUUUAAUUCGAUGCAAAGCGAAGAACCUUACCAGGGCUUGACAUGCCGUGAAUCCUCUUGAAAGAGGGGGGGGGUGCCUUCGGGAUCGUGGACAGGUGGUGCAUGGCUGACGUCAGCUCGUGCCGUAAGGUGUUGGGUUAAGUCUCGUAACGAGUGCAACCCUCGUGUUUAGUUGCCAUUGUUGAGUUUGGAACCCUGAACAAACUGCUGGUGAUAAGCUGGAGGAAGGUGAGGAUGACCUCAAGUAAUCAUGCCCCUCAUGCCCUGGGCGACACACGUGCUACAAUGGCCGAGACAAAGGGUUGCGAUCCCGCAACGGUGAGCUAACUCCAAAAGAAGCAAAAAAUCCUACAGAUUUUAGGCCAUUCAGCUUGGUGACAAGCAUUUACAAAAUCCUGGCUAAAGUGUUAUCUUUGAGGGUUAAAGUAGUGCUGCUCUCCAUCAUUAGUCAAGCUCAAGGAGCAUUCAUUUAGGGGAGACAAAUAACAGAUCAGAUCCUAAUAGCAAAUGAGUGUUUGGAGGACAUGAG